RNAcentral lists this ribosomal RNA (234 nucleotides) under Triticum aestivum (bread wheat). RNAcentral describes it as "partial small subunit ribosomal RNA". Lineage: Eukaryota; Viridiplantae; Streptophyta; Magnoliopsida; Poales; Poaceae. The record is from RNAcentral.
AUGUUAGUGUGGAAUGUGCGCGGGCUCAAUAAUCGAGCUCGGCGUAUGGGUGUUCGGAGCCUCGUCAGUUCAACAGGCACUUCCAUUGUCUGUUUGCAGGAGACUAAGUUGGCAGUUGUAACCCCUACUAUAGUUAUGGAAGACUUUGGCGCGGAUUUUGAUGAUUAUUAUGCUUGCUGGCUACUGACACUCAUGGGGGAUUAUUAUAGUUGCGUGGAUAGGUCGCACAGUUAA